Mesocricetus auratus (golden hamster) is the source of this 954-nucleotide long non-coding RNA. RefSeq lists it as uncharacterized. The transcript has 4 exons. Lineage: Eukaryota; Metazoa; Chordata; Mammalia; Rodentia; Cricetidae. The record is from RefSeq and is a predicted model, not a curated record.
GUGGGAAACUGAUCCCGGUGCCUGAAGGGAGGAAGCGGUGGGGCUCUGGGCUUAAGUUCAGCUGCACAGCCAGUCGUGAUGAUGGCAAUGUGACACUCAGUUUGUCAUGGAGAACUGGCACCUGUUACUUACUGCCUUACUUCUUGGAUUUGCAAGUUGCCGUGGCUGUGCUCUGGUUUUCUCCUGGAACUUUGUGUUUGCUGGAGAGGGAGAGGCCACUCAGCAGUGGACAGCCCACAGAGGGGUUCUGGCCAAGGUCCUGGGAGGGAACCAGGGUGUGUCACCGUCAGUGUGACGCACAGGCUUAUGGGAGGAAGCAGUGGCCCUUCACCCACAAACUUCAGGGGACAUCUGAGAACGGGACUUUCUCUUUCCUUCCACACAGUGUGAUGGCCUCAGUCAGAACAACUGUCAGAGAUGCCGCCCUCUCCCGUGUCCAUAGCCACGCUUGGUCGUGUGUCUCAGGAAAGGCCUGUAUGGUUAUUACCUGAAUUAAAUAAGAACUGUGGCAUGAGUGAAGAGUACAUCUGGGUUGUUUUGAGUCACUGAGAUUGGGGGUUGCUAUAGCAGUCACUGCGAACAAGCAUCCACAGGCACCCGUGGCUUCUCUUCACUAGAUGAUACGUUUCUGGAAGACGGCAUCAAUUCAAAUCACAUAAAUACUUCCCAGGUCAUCCCAGUUAGAGCAAGAACACCUGUAACACGAAUAAAACCUGAUAUUAGGGUUCAAACUUCAAGCUGAAGAUCAGAAAAGCAAAGCACCCAGCCACUAGCUCUCACCUCGGACUCAGGUUGAAAGGGCUGAUCCACGCAGGAGCUCUUCACCAAGUCUCAAACUGCUGCCGUCUCCUCAGUGUGGCUGGAGAACAAAUGCCUCCUACUGACUACUAAAGACCCUACUUCUAUCUUUUACACCCCUCUAGUGCUGGGAUUAAAGGCAUGUGAUCUCUGUUA